Molecule: ribosomal RNA, 406 nt
Filed under: uncultured bacterium
Lineage: Bacteria
Description: partial 16S ribosomal RNA
Rfam family: Bacterial small subunit ribosomal RNA
Source: RNAcentral
AUUGAACGCUGGCGGCAGGCCUAACACAUGCAAGUCGAACGAGUGGCGGACGGGUGAGUAAUGUCUGGGAAACUGCCUGAUGGAGGGGGAUAACUACUGGAAACGGUAGCUAAUACCGCAUACCAUCAGAUGUACCCAGAUGGGAUUAGCUUGUUGGUGGGGUAACGGCUCACCAAGGCGACGAUCCCUAGCUGGUCUGAGAGGAUGACCAGCCAGACUGGAACUGAGACACGGCCCAGACUCCUACGGGAGGCAGCAGUGGGGAAUAUUGCACAAUGGGGGCAAGCCUGAGGCAGAGAUGCCGCGUGUAUGAAUAAGGCCUUCGGGUUGUAAAGUACUUUCAGCGGGGAGGCGUUACCCGCAGAAGAAGCACCGGCUAACUCCGUGCCAGCAGCCGCGGUAAUUC